RNAcentral lists this ribosomal RNA (455 nucleotides) under uncultured organism. RNAcentral's name for it is "partial 16S ribosomal RNA". It matches the Rfam family "Bacterial small subunit ribosomal RNA", at positions 329 to 800 of the family's 1533-position model. The record is from RNAcentral.
ACGUACGCUCCUACGGGAGGCAGCAGUGGGGAAUAUUGGACAAUGGGCGCAAGCCUGAUCCAGCCAUGCCGCGUGAGUGAUGAAGGCCCUAGGGUUGUAAAGCUCUUUCACCGGUGAAGAUAAUGACGGUAACCGGAGAAGAAGCCCCGGCUAACUUCGUGCCAGCAGCCGCGGUAAUACGAAGGGGGCUAGCGUUGUUCGGAUUUACUGGGCGUAAAGCGCACGUAGGCGGACUAUUAAGUCAGGGGUGAAAUCCCGGGGCUCAACCCCGGAACUGCCUUUGAUACUGGUAGUCUUGAGUUCGAGAGAGGUGAGUGGAAUUCCGAGUGUAGAGGUGAAAUUCGUAGAUAUUCGGAGGAACACCAGUGGCGAAGGCGGCUCACUGGCUCGAUACUGACGCUGAGGUGCGAAAGCGUGGGGAGCAAACAGGAUUAGAAACCCCAGUAGUCCCAUGA